GAUGACCGCUGACAGAAUGCUUAACACAUCAGCAAUUGAUUGGUGGCGGACGGGUGAGCAACGCGUAGAGACCGUGGCGCACAGCUAGGGACAACAUUAAGAAAUGAAUGCUAAUAACUGAUACUGUGAGAGAGCUUUGAGUCCCAUUAGCUAGUUGGAGAGGUCACAGCUAACAAAGGCGCUGAUGGGUAGCCGGCCUGAGAGGGUGAACGGCCACACGGCGACUGAGACACGGACGUUACUCCUACGAGAGGCAGCAGUUGGGACUAUUGGACAAUGGACCGAAGUCGGAUCAAGCAAUUCUGUGUGCACGAUUAAUUUGUCGUAAUGUAAAGUGCGUUCAGUUGGGAAGCGGUACCAAGAGAAGAAGUGACGGCUAAAGACGGGCCAGCCGCCGCGGUAAUAC
Molecule: ribosomal RNA, 406 nt
Filed under: uncultured bacterium
Lineage: Bacteria
Description: partial 16S ribosomal RNA
Rfam family: Bacterial small subunit ribosomal RNA
Source: RNAcentral